CACGUAGGAGGCGAGCGUUGUCCGGAAUCAUUGGGCGUAAAGAGCGCGCAGGCGGCUUGGCAAGUCGGGUGUGAAAUCCCGGGGCUCAACCCCGUGACUGCAUCCGAUACUGUCAGGCUAGAGGUAGGUAGGGGAGAUCGGAAUUCCUGGUGUAGCGGUGAAAUGCGCAGAUAUCAGGAGGAACACCGGUGGCGAAGGCGGAUCUCUGGGCCUUACCUGACGCUCAGGCGCGAAAGCGUGGGGAGCGAACAGG
This 253-nucleotide ribosomal RNA is filed under the name uncultured bacterium. Its description in RNAcentral is "partial 16S ribosomal RNA". It matches the Rfam family "Bacterial small subunit ribosomal RNA", at positions 524 to 776 of the family's 1533-position model. The record is from RNAcentral.